AGAGUUUGAUCCUGGCUCAGAACGAACGUUGGCGGCGUGGAUUAGGCAUGCAAGUCGAACGAGAACGUCACCUUCGGGUGGCUAGUAAAGUGGCGAACGGGUGAGUAUCGCGUGGGAAACCUGCCCUCGAGUUGGGGAUAGCACUCCCAACGGAAUGCUAAUACCGAAUAAGACCACGGUGUCGCAUGGCACUGAGGUCAAAGGUGGCCUCUACUUGUAAGCUACCGCUUGAGGAUGGUCCCGCGUCCCAUUAGCUUGUUGGUAGGGUAAUGGCCUACCAAGGCUGCGAUGGGUAGCUGGUCUGAGAGGAUGGUCAGCCACACUGGGACUGAGAUACGGCCCAGACUCCUACGGGAGGCAGCAGUCGAGAGGCUUCGGCAAUGGGGGAAACCCUGACCGAGCGACGCCGCGUGGGCGAUGAAGGUCGUAAGAUUGUAAAGCCCUGUCAGGAGGGAAGAAAUGCGGGGAGUCAAACAGGCUUUCCGUUUGACGGUACCUCCAGAGGAAGCUCCGGCUAACUCCGUGCCAGCAGCCGCGGUAAUACGGAGGGAGCAAACGUUGUUCGGAAUUACUGGGCGUAAAGGGCGAGUAGGCGGGCCGGUAAGUGGAAUGUGAAAGGCCCUGGCUCAACCAGGGACGUGCAUUCCAAACUGCCAGUCUUGAGUACAGGAGAGGAUGGGGGAAUUCCCGGUGUAGCGGUGGAAUGCAUUGAUAUCGGGAGGAACACCAGUGGCGAAGGCGCCCAUCUGGCCUGAUACUGACGCUGAUUCGCGAAAGCUAGGGGAGCAAACAGGAUUAGAUACCCUGGUAGUCCUAGCCGUAAACGGUGAGCACUAGGUGUAGGAGGCAUCGACCCCUCCUGUGCCGCAGCUAACGCAUUAAGUGCUCCGCCUGGGGAGUACGACCGCAAGGUUGAAACUCAAAGGAGUUGACGGGGGCCCGCACAAGCGGUGGAGCAUGUGGUUUAAUUCGAUGCAACGCGAAGAACCUUACCCAGGUUUGACAUGCACCGGACAGGUGUGGAAACACAUUUUCCCUUCGGGGUCGGUGCACAGGUGCUGCAUGGCUGUCGUCAGCUCGUGUCGUGAGAUGUUGGGUUAAGUCCCGCAACGAGCGCAACCCUUGUCCUUAGUUGCCAUCAAGUGAAGUUGGGCACUCUAGGGAGACUGCCGUCGAUAAGGCGGAGGAAGGUGGGGAUGACGUCAAGUCCUCAUGGUCCUUACGCCUGGGGCUACACACGUGCUACAAUGGCUGGUACAAUGGGUUGCAAUGCCGCGAGGUGGAGCUAAUCUCAAAAAACCAGUCUCAGUUCGGAUUGCAGUCUGCAACUCGACUGCAUGAAGGCGGAAUCGCUAGUAAUCGCUGAUCAGCAGGCAGCGGUGAAUAUGUUCCCGGGCCUUGUACACACCGCCCGUCAAGCCACGAAAGUAGGCAGUACCCGAAGUCGCUAUCCUAACCGCAAGGAGGGAAGCGCCGAAGGUAAGGCUUGCGAUUGGGGCUAAGUCU
Molecule: ribosomal RNA, 1506 nt
Filed under: metagenome
Description: bacterial SSU rRNA
Rfam family: Bacterial small subunit ribosomal RNA
Source: RNAcentral